CCAAUUCCCUUCUUUCCCGAUUCCACUUUCUUUCUCAGCCAUUCUCAGCCUCUACCUUCUAUUUCUCUCCCCCGAUUCCCUUUUCUUUCCCAAUUCCCUUUUCUUUCUCAGCCUUUCUCAGACUAAGCCAUUUCACCCCAUUGCAAACCCGAAACCCUCAUUUUCCCCCAAAUCAUAGUUCCCUAAAACCCUAAAAUUUCCCCAAAUCAAACCCAUUUGUUGUCUCCCUCUCUCUUUUCGAUCGACAGGUAUUAUAAUUUUCUAAUCAAACCCAAAGCUCCUUCUUUCAUUUUGAUUUCAUUGCAGCAAGCAAGCCGUUUAUUUUUUAUUUCAUUUCGACUUCGAUUUCACUUCUGUUUUAUUUUUGCAGCAAGCAGAAAGAUUAAGGGAUUUCAUUUUGAAAUCAAACCCGAUUGAAGGCUACCUUUGGCGAGUCCAUCAAAUCAAGGUACUCUCAUUUACUUGUUCUUUUGAACCCUAUACUUUAGCAUGCUGACAUUUAUAUUUUUUUUCUUUUGUGUUCUUUAGUAUAUGCCAUUUAUUGGGAAUUUUAUUAUUGUUCUCUUUCCCUCUGCGUAUGUAGUUAGUUUCCUAUUAUGGGAAUUUAUUUUGUUGGUUUUGACUUUUGCGUUUGAUUUUGGCUUUUUGGUUCUUUGAGUCGGAAGAUUGAUGGCCUUUUAUGGGCUAGUUUGAUUUAUAUUAGCAUUUGAUUACACAUGAUUGGAAAAAACUUUAAUAUGUAUAGAUUCUCCAAGACUAGAAACUUUAUCCUUGAUGUUUCAAUACCGUAAACAUGUUUUCGGUUAUCAGUUUAUUGUCUUCUCAUGUGAUCAUUGGUAGAAGCAAUUCCUUGUUGGAUUAGAUAGUUCAGGUUAGAUAACCCGACCUAUAUUGAAUUGCUUGCUCUAUUUAUUGUGUUUUGGUUUCAAUGGUCAAUAUUCUGGGCUUAUUAAACUCUAAAAAUGCGUGUCACCAGUCAUCCUCAUGAAAAUAUGCCUCAAAAACACUCUUUGCUUCUGCUGUUGUGCUUGUGCUGCCUCACACUCAAAUAUUUAUGUUACCAAUCUUAGCUGGUCCAGUCACCUUUUCUUCCAUGAUCAUCUGCAUAUUGUGUAACGUUAAUACAUCCUUCCUUAUCCUGCAUUGCUUUUACACUGUUAAAUAGUGGGUAGUAGUUAUCCCUGAAGUUUUCUGGCGAACUUUAGAGUCAUAAAAACCCUGGCUAAAGACUUCCUGAUUCUGAAAUUUGUUGCCUUGCAUUGGAGGGCACCUAUUGAGCUUGAUGGUCUAUAUCUUUUCACAGAAACUGUAGAAAUUUCAAAACCUGUUACUUUUUGGAGAGAAGUUAUCUUAUCGUUUCCUUCUGUCUUGGUAACUGCAUAUUUGUUUUAUUUUCUCCUUAAUCCUCAAGUAAUGUUCUAAGAAAUACACUCAAUUGAAGUUUGGAGCAACUCUAUGAUCUUAUGAAUGUGCAGAGCAUGUUUGUAAUGUCUCUGUCAUAGUGGCUUCAUCAUAUGAUAUCAAUUACUAUGUUACACAUUGAUGGUUAGAAAGCUGUAAUUAAUUAUUUUUUAUUCAAUUUGAUGGCUCGGAAUAAAUUGUUUGUGGUGACGCAUGCAUAUUCACGUAACAGAUGAUGUGAUUGUUAUACAUAGCUAUUACAUGAGUUGAGACCUGAUGAGAGUAAGUUGGAGAAUAGCCCGUGUUAUCCAAAAAUUUGUAUUUUGUUCUAACAAUCACUCUUUUGCAUGCUACCUCAGUAUAUUACAGUGACAUCUGUGUCGGAUUAAUUGCUUGUCGGCUGGAAAAGAAAGAAGGUGGGGCUAUCCAUUCGUACAUCAUGACAUUGGGGUUAUCCAUUUGCCAGCAUAUUACCCUAGACUUCUGUGAUGAGUUAAAUGGAUUUAACUCAAUUGAAUAAUGAUUAAUUCACUUGUUUUAAGUGUUUUUUUUUCAUUUUAUAUUUUUUAUAUAAAAAAUAUAUAUACUUAAAUCACAAAAUGAUAACUAAACUAUACUUAUUUUCCCAAAUUGAUAUUUAAACUUUUUUGUUGUCAUAAGUGGUACUUAAACUAUACCACUUACCCAUUUUAUUCUGUUGUUAAAGAAAUUCCCUUAACCAAUCAUUUUGUGGCACGAUAUAAUUUUUAACUAAAAUAUCCAAAAAAAAAGAUUAAAUAUUAUUUCCUUUAUAAACAUAUUUAUCUUUUUUUGUUCUUCACCUAAAAGUUCUAGUGACAAAAAAUUCAAGAACUAAUCGAGAAACACAUUUGAACCUAGUUUUCGACAAUAAAGCUUAGAUUGCGAUGAGUUUUUUUUUUCUUUUUUAUUUUUUAAUAUAUUCUACCAGACACAUCGCAAUUCCAAGUAUCUAUGUUAGUGAUUUAGUAGCUCUUCUUAAAUUUGAAUCUCGAUGAUAAUUAGACUGGAGGAUGCCAUUACUGUAGUGAGGAUCCUUUAAAUAUUUACCUUUUUUUAAUAAAUUUUGAACUAGAGUGAACCGGCAAAAGUGUUGUUAAGAAGUUGAGGGUGUUACCGUAGCUCAACCAAUUUAAUAAUUUAGGUUGAUGCUAUAAUGUUAUUGAAAGGCAUAUUUGAGUCAGAUUAUUUUUUUUAUUUAAUUUGCUAAAUCUUUAUUUCUAGGAGAUUAUAUUUGGUAUGUAUUCCAUGAGCUAAUUACAAGGUAAUUACAAUUUCAAAUAGGUAUGUAUAUUUAAUUUGUUAAAUUUGUUUUUAACUUGUUUUUUAAUGGACCAUUAAUGGAUCAUGUUUUUAACUUAUUUCAAGUCUGUCCUUUGAUUAUUU
RNAcentral lists this long non-coding RNA (2805 nucleotides) under Gossypium barbadense (sea-island cotton). RNAcentral's name for it is "long non-coding RNA (GBAR_LNC001146)". Lineage: Eukaryota; Viridiplantae; Streptophyta; Magnoliopsida; Malvales; Malvaceae. The record is from RNAcentral.